UGCAUCGUCACCAAACUCCUCUGCCUCAAACACAGCGACUGUGCCCCUCGUUGUCAAUACGACAUCGGCGUCUGCCUGGGGAACGCCUGCAGGUGUUACAAGCUAGUCGAGGACAGGCAAAUGAGUGAAAGCCUAUCCCCUAUGUCAUAUGAGGAGGACUUGAAGUGACCACAACGAGGGGAAGAGACCGUAUUGUCUUGAGACCGGAAGUCGUGACCACAUGGCAGUUUGUACGAACUUGGUCCACUAGUCUGUGUGCUGCAAGUAAAGGCGUCCCGAAGUCCGUCGUGUUGGCUGCAUGUGGUGUUCAUGUAUCAUGAUCUGGUAUUCAUUUCCAUGUGUUAGACAAAUCCUAAUGGAGGACGGCGAGGGGAAAUACGUUGUAUUUAAAGAAAACGUAAGGCUUACAAUGACGUUCUGCACUUUAAUAUUCCAACAUGUAAUAUGUAACAUCAUGAAUCAUGUUCACAACUAGCUGCUGUUUGUCCAUUGUCAAUAGAAAAAAUAGUAAAAGCAAAAUGGGUUAGUGUUAUAACACUGUACACAUCAAUGUUUAAACAAAAGUGGUAAAUGUAAUAUAUGUCCGUCA
Molecule: long non-coding RNA, 589 nt
Organism: Haliotis rubra (blacklip abalone)
Lineage: Eukaryota; Metazoa; Mollusca; Gastropoda; Lepetellida; Haliotidae
Exons: 2
Source: RefSeq, a predicted model, not a curated record